UACGUAGGGUGCAAGCGUUGUCCGGAAUUAUUGGGCGUAAAGAGCUCGUAGGCGGUCUGUCGCGUCGGCUGUGAAAUCCCGAGGCUCAACCUCGGGUCUGCAGUCGAUACGGGCAAACUAGAGUAUUGCAGGGGAGACUGGAAUUCCUGGUGUAGCGGUGAAAUGCGCAGAUAUCAGGAGGAACACCGGUGGCGAAGGCGGGUCUCUGGGCAAUAACUGACGCUGAGGAGCGAAGGCCAGGGGAGCGAACGGG
RNAcentral lists this ribosomal RNA (253 nucleotides) under uncultured bacterium. Its description in RNAcentral is "partial 16S ribosomal RNA". It matches the Rfam family "Bacterial small subunit ribosomal RNA", at positions 524 to 776 of the family's 1533-position model. The record is from RNAcentral.